Non-coding RNA from Paramuricea clavata, 540 nucleotides. The record is from the annotation of a GenBank genome assembly. NCBI's taxonomy places the organism in Eukaryota, Metazoa, Cnidaria, Anthozoa, Malacalcyonacea, Plexauridae.
UGAGAACGCAAACGGAAUUCAGGGGUGGCGCUAGGAUUUUUAAGGAUUUUUAAAGACAUAAGGAUUUUUAAACUAUUGAACUUGACUUCGUUCAACCGUAUGUCUUAUUGUUUAUAUCGUGUUUUUUAUCGUGUUGUUUUGAAAGGCCCCUCAUUCCAGUGCAGAUACUCCCCCCCCCCUGGCGGAGUGUUUUCGAACGAGGAGUCCAGGUUGCUGAGCCGCUCUCGUGGCAACGAUCAUGUAGUGAACGGUUCUGUCGAAAAUUUAAUUUUGAAUUUUAGACAAACAAAGUUCGUCGUGUGUCGCGGGAAUUGCCGCAAUGAUGAACAAACCAACUUCUUUCGAAAGAGGAACGUUCAUACUACAGCAUGAACUCCACCUUUGAAUUUACUAUAUGAGUAAAUUCUUAAACACGUCCGAAUUUAUCAUUAUGAUAAAUUCGCGGCAAAUUUUGAAUUUUUCAUAAUAAUAAAUUCGCGGCACCUAACACUAACCCUAACCUCAACCCCAACCAUAACCAUGCACUAAGCCCGAACCACU